GUGAGAGGUAGUCUGUAAACAGUCAAAAGGAAAGAAAGAAUGCAUAGGUCAUUGCCAGUACCUCCGGCUAUCCAGGCUUCUUCUGCACCUGUAUUCGUUGAAGUUUGCAGACAUUCUGAGCAUUUUCAGGGCUAUCAUUAGGAUACAGUAUUGAAGUGCAACAUUUAUGGUUUUUUUUCAACCGUAGAUUGCUAUGAGCUAUUAAUCCCAGUUACUCUGUGCUGAUGUUUGCAGUGGUUUAUUUGAAUAAGUGAGUCCAAGUUCCUGUAGCAUGUGCAUCACAGGUUCCUUGUCAUUUUGAUAUACCCUAGAAGUGAUUUUUGGAUGCUUACUCACUGGAGACAUUUCUAAAAUGUGUUAUAUUCUUCUUUUGCAAGCAGCUUUCCUUCAGGGAAAUCAACUUCCCUGCCUGUUUGUGCUUAGCUGCAUUUCCUGCCCGGGGGAUGCCGGUGCUCCGGAAGGAGAUGGUCCGUGAGUUGUUCUUCAGGCAGAAGGAAUGCUCACCAGUUGGGGUGGUAACCCGACACUGGACAGAUGUGCUCAAGAAUAGAUUCACACGCAGAAACUUGAAAUGCUCAUGAAAACAGCUAUCGCUUAAGUGCUUUGAAGAAGAGAUCUCCAGUGAAAAGAUGUUAUAAGGAAUUUUACAGGUAUAUCCCUCUGAGAAUUGACUUCAGUGCCCUUCUGAAAACUUCGCAUUUGGGUGCCAUUGUGCAUAUAUAUGCAUACUAAAGCUGCCUUUUUUUUUUUUUUCUUCUCCACUUCUUGAGCCACUAAGGUAAGAAGUGGACAGCUAGCAGCGGGCUUAGAGGAUAUAAUGUGAUUUAUACCUUCACAGUUAAAAUAAUAGAUAAGCUUUACAGUUUUUCAGCAUGGUGCAUGCUGGAUGGCAAAAUACCAAUGUUACUGUCACAGCUUAAAUGUAUUUUACAGCUCUGAUAGGUGGUAAAGUGUGGGUUUUAAUUUCUGCAGCGAGCAAAUGAUGUAUGGUAACCAGUCAGAUGCGCCUGGCUAGUUUAUAGCCCUUGCAUACAUAGCUGGCAUAAAGGUAGCUGUGCAAUGUCCUGGGACUGCUUUAGCCCUUGUCUUACUUAGUUUUAGGUUAAACUGUCUUUAAAAGCCUCCAGGGAGCUGUCAUAGC
RNAcentral lists this long non-coding RNA (1141 nucleotides) under Numida meleagris (helmeted guineafowl). Its description in RNAcentral is "lncRNA (ENSNMEG00000021760.1)". Lineage: Eukaryota; Metazoa; Chordata; Aves; Galliformes; Numididae. The record is from RNAcentral.